UUUUUAGUGUAAACAUGUUUCAUGCAAUAUUUGAAAUAUGUUUAUAUUAAAA
This 52-nucleotide microRNA precursor is filed under the name Callithrix jacchus (white-tufted-ear marmoset). Its description in RNAcentral is "mir-1302 microRNA precursor family". It matches the Rfam family "mir-1302 microRNA precursor family". The record is from Rfam by way of RNAcentral. Lineage: Eukaryota; Metazoa; Chordata; Mammalia; Primates; Cebidae.